This 353-nucleotide ribosomal RNA is filed under the name Martinezella rhizogenes. RNAcentral describes it as "bacterial SSU rRNA". It matches the Rfam family "Bacterial small subunit ribosomal RNA", at positions 1 to 383 of the family's 1533-position model. Lineage: Bacteria; Pseudomonadati; Pseudomonadota; Alphaproteobacteria; Hyphomicrobiales; Rhizobiaceae. The record is from RNAcentral.
UCAACUUGAGAGUUUGAUCCUGGCUCAGAACGAACGCUGGCGGCAGGCUUAACACAUGCAAGUCGAACGCAUCGCAAGAUGAGUGGCAGACGGGUGAGUAACGCGUGGGAACAUACCCUUUUCUACGGAAUAGCUCUGGGAAACUGGAAUUAAUACCGUAUACGCCCUACGGGGGAAAGAUUUAUCGGGGAAGGAUUGGCCCGCGUUGGAUUAGCUAGUUGGUGGGGUAAAGGCCUACCAAGGCGACGAUCCAUAGCUGGUCUGAGAGGAUGAUCAGCCACAUUGGGACUGAGACACGGCCCAAACUCCUACGGGAGGCAGCAGUGGGGAAUAUUGGACAAGGGGCGCAAGCC